AUACCUGCAGCUCGAGUGGUGACCACUAUUAUUGGGCCUAAAACGUUCGUAGCCGGUUUAUUAAAUGCCUGGGUAAAUCGUACGGCUUAACCGUACGAAUUCUGGGUAGACUGAUAGACUUGGGACCGGGAGAGGCUAGAGGUACUCCUGGGGUAGAGGUGAAAUUCUGUAAUCCUGGGGGGACCACCAGUGGCGAAGGCGUCUAGCUAGAACGGGUCCGACGGUGAGGGACGAAGCCCUGGGGCGCAAACCGGAUUAGAUACCCGGGUAGUCCAGGGUGUAAACGCUGCUUGCUUGAUGUUAGUCGGGCUCCGAGCCCGAUUAGUGUCGGAGAGAAGUUGUUAAGCAAGCUGCCUGGGAAAUACGGUCGCAAGACUGAA
RNAcentral lists this ribosomal RNA (380 nucleotides) under uncultured bacterium. Its description in RNAcentral is "bacterial SSU rRNA". It matches the Rfam family "Archaeal small subunit ribosomal RNA", at positions 473 to 853 of the family's 1478-position model. RNAcentral also lists the same sequence under 1 other name. The record is from RNAcentral.